This 387-nucleotide long non-coding RNA is filed under the name Penaeus japonicus. RNAcentral's name for it is "uncharacterized LOC122247925". The record is from RNAcentral. Lineage: Eukaryota; Metazoa; Arthropoda; Malacostraca; Decapoda; Penaeidae.
CCCUCCUUUGUGGCACGACAGACGUUCACUUGCACAAGCAUGAAGCUGUUUUCGCUGUUGAUGGCUCUUGCUGUGGCCCUGUCUGGCCUCCUGGGUUCAGCUCAUGCCAUGCCUGACCCCUACCCUGUGGCUGACCCCGUGGCUAACCCUGACCCCGUUGCUGACCCCUGGUUCUUCAAACGCAAAUACUACUACCCCCGCCGUCACUACUACCCAAGCUACCACCACUACCAUCACUGGUGAAGAGGAAACCUUUUUUUUACCUGGAAAACAUUAAUUACCACAACCAGUAAAAAUAUCCUUCAGUGACCUUACAAACCGAUGUCCUAACCUAACCUAAUCUCCAUGUCUCCUUAAACGUACAGUAUAAUAAAAUCCUGUUAGAUA